Molecule: long non-coding RNA, 445 nt
Filed under: Parus major (Great Tit)
Lineage: Eukaryota; Metazoa; Chordata; Aves; Passeriformes; Paridae
Description: lncRNA (ENSPMJG00000011189.1)
Source: RNAcentral
GAAGAAAGAAAACAGAAUCAUAGUUUAUAUCUCUAGCAAGAUCACUUUUAGAGCCUUUCAGAUUUCAGACACCUUCUUCUGUGUUUUUGUUUUCUCCUUGUUUGUCUGUUGUGUGGGUUAGUUUUUUGGUUUGUUUGGGGUUUUCCCCCUCUUUGUCUUUGUGCUGUAUUUAUCUGAUUUUUUCACUCAUCUUUCUACAUUUCCUUCUGGGCUGGAAAGCUAAUACUGCCUGUUGACAUCAUCAGCCAGUUUCUCAGAUAUUGACCUCAGACUCUGUUUUUCAGGGUUCUUUUAGGGUUCUUCAUGGGACCAGGACACUGCACAGAGCAUGAAGCAAUCGUGGAGCUGGAGAGAUCUGACUGUCCUGAAUGUCAGCUUCAAAGUAAGUGCUCAGUGGCUUAUGAGAAAUGGAGCUUGCCUCUGAGUGCCUCAAUAUGCUGAGAGG